Molecule: ribosomal RNA, 253 nt
Filed under: uncultured bacterium
Lineage: Bacteria
Description: partial 16S ribosomal RNA
Rfam family: Bacterial small subunit ribosomal RNA
Source: RNAcentral
UACGCAGGGGGCUAGCGUUGCUCGGAAUCACUGGGCGUAAAGGGCGCGUAGGCGGCCUGACAAGUCACUUGUGAAAUCUCCGGGCUUAACUCGGAACGGUCAAGUGAUACUGUCGCGCUAGAGUGCGGAAGGGGCAAUCAGAAUUCUUGGUGUAGCGGUGAAAUGCGUAGAUAUCAAGAGGAAUACCUGAGGUGAAGACGGGUUGCUAGGCCGACACUGACGCUGAAGCGCGAAAGCCAGGGGAGCAAACGGG